Molecule: long non-coding RNA, 458 nt
Filed under: Rosa chinensis
Lineage: Eukaryota; Viridiplantae; Streptophyta; Magnoliopsida; Rosales; Rosaceae
Description: sRNA RchiOBHm_Chr4g0411191
Source: RNAcentral
GCCCUUCAUCACUUGGUCAGUCCCUCUCCUCCUCAUCCUCAUCAGUCAUCAGUUCGAUUUCGCUCCCAGGCUCCCAGCCUCCUCCUCCUCGGCUCCUCCUCCUCUUCUAAACUUCUGCAAAUCUGCAGCUCUGGCCUCUAGGCUCUGGAAUUCUCGGCUUCUCCAAGACAUCAACAUCAAUUUGAGGCAAUGAUUCAAUGUGAAGAUUUCAUGGAUUGAACUCAUUGAAGAAUGAAGAUUUCAUGGAUUGAACUCAUCUUCGUCUCAUCGUCUCAUCGUCUGGUAUGCAAAUCUGCAAUUUAACAUUUUAUUGUUUAAUUGUUGUGGACUGUGGGUUAAAUGUGAUGUGAUUAAGUUGAUUAAUUGAUUAACUGUCAAGCGGUUCUACAAAUCUGAGUUGCUUUUUUCUUUUCCUUUCAUAGUUUCAUUGUGCAUCAGUGCAUCAGUGCAUAUAAUUG